GGCCAGCACUUUAAAAUCCUCAGAUAUGUCCCAUUCUCCUGUUCUGGUUAGGAGGCAAGAAGCCAUGUCAAAAGGAAAUUAUUGUGUGAGAGUUCACAAAAAUCCUAAAGAUAUAUCUUUGAUAAGAGUGGAGGAAGAAGAGAGAAAAGAUGAGUCACAUUCUCAUGUUUGGUAUUUCCAAUUGCUGACAGAAGACUGAAGAAAUUUGUCUUUCAUACUCAAAGGACUUAGUGAGGACUGCAGAACACUGUACUGCUGGUAAGUUGUACUAUGCCAUAGUCAUGAUCUUUUAAAAUAAAAACAUUAUUUCUAGAGCA
Molecule: long non-coding RNA, 317 nt
Filed under: Cyanistes caeruleus (blue tit)
Lineage: Eukaryota; Metazoa; Chordata; Aves; Passeriformes; Paridae
Description: lncRNA (ENSCCEG00000020009.1)
Source: RNAcentral